Gorilla gorilla gorilla (western lowland gorilla) is the source of this 244-nucleotide long non-coding RNA. RefSeq lists it as uncharacterized. The transcript is spliced from 3 exons. The record is from RefSeq and is a predicted model, not a curated record. NCBI's taxonomy places the organism in Eukaryota, Metazoa, Chordata, Mammalia, Primates, Hominidae.
AGUAAGAACAUACUCUGCAUCAGAGAGGGUUCAACAUUAACAACAAUGUCUGUAAAAACAGAAUCACAGCUGUCAAGAAGAGUGCUAUGCUGGUGGUACAGGCUCAGUGAUGGGAAAUUCAAAAAUUGCCACGGCCACCCCAACCUUCAGCAACCACCAACCUAAUCAGCUAGCAGACAUCAACAUCAAGGCAGGACCCUCCAACCUCCAGCAGGAAAAACAUUACCACUUGCUCAAGGCCCAG